RNAcentral lists this long non-coding RNA (428 nucleotides) under Prunus persica (peach). RNAcentral's name for it is "long non-coding RNA (PPER_LNC001236)". The record is from RNAcentral. Lineage: Eukaryota; Viridiplantae; Streptophyta; Magnoliopsida; Rosales; Rosaceae.
AGGAAAGGAAGAUAAGUUGGAGAGCAGUGAGGUUGAAGAGGUCAUAAAUGGGGAGUGAGAGGUGGGUUCGCUAUAAAUUGAGAACUUAGAGAUGAGCCAGCAAGCUUAUGACCUCAAAUGACCCGUGUGGAGAGAGUGAGGGAGAGAAGUGAAGGGUCACCCAGAGGUGAGUGAGUGAGGCAUUGAGCUUGUAAAACUUGUAAAUGAGGUAUUGGUGUGUGCAUUAUUCAAAUUAAAUGCUUCAUGAAUAUCAAAGGUCAUUUACCGGUCCAAUAUGGGCUUGUCGGGCCCGGUCAUGGUCGGGCCUCUUUUUUUUCCUAAUUCUUUUUUUAUCUUUUGUUACAAAUAUGUUUUUGGAUUUGAGAUAAUAAGUGCGAAUUUUAUUUUAACAUUUCAUGAAAACUAAUAAGAUAAUUACUUUCCUCCAC